RNAcentral lists this ribosomal RNA (468 nucleotides) under uncultured bacterium. RNAcentral's name for it is "partial 16S ribosomal RNA". It matches the Rfam family "Bacterial small subunit ribosomal RNA", at positions 28 to 507 of the family's 1533-position model. The record is from RNAcentral.
GACGAACGCUGGCGUCGUGCUCAACACAUGCCUUUCUAACGGAUAGGCUCUGCUUUUGUUGGUUGCUCGAUUGGCGAUCGCGUGAUUAACACGUGAGUUACCUGCCCUUGUCUGUGGGUUAAUUUCAGUUAACUGGGGCUAAUACCGGAUACUAGCUUCUUCUGCCUGUUGGGGGUUAGAAUGUUUCGGCGGUUGGGGAUGUACUCGCGGCUUAUCAGCUUGUUGGUGGGGUAGUGGCUUAUCAAGGCUUUGACGGGUAGCCGGCCUGAGAGGGUGACCGGCCAAAUUGGGACUGAGAUACGGCCCAGACUCCUACGGGAGGCAGCAGUGGGGAAUAUUACACAAUGGGCGGAAGCCUGAUGCAGCAACGCCGCGUGCGGGAUGACGGCCUUAGGGUUGUAAACCGCUUUCGCCUGUGACGAAGCGUGAGUGACGGUAAUGGGUAAAGAAGCACCGGCUAACUACGUG